AGAGUUUGAUCCUGGCUCAGAGUGAACGCUGGCGGUAGGCCUAACACAUGCAAGUCGAACGGCAGCACAGUAAGAGCUUGCUCUUACGGGUGGCGAGUGGCGGACGGGUGAGGAAUACAUCGGAAUCUACUUUUUCGUGGGGGAUAACGUAGGGAAACUUACGCUAAUACCGCAUACGACCUACGGGUGAAAGCAGGGGAUCUUCGGACCUUGCGCGAUUGAAUGAGCCGAUGUCGGAUUAGCUAGUUGGCGGGGUAAAGGCCCACCAAGGCGACGAUCCGUAGCUGGUCUGAGAGGAUGAUCAGCCACACUGGAACUGAGACACGGUCCAGACUCCUACGGGAGGCAGCAGUGGGGAAUAUUGGACAAUGGGCGCAAGCCUGAUCUAGCCAUACCGCGUGGGUGAAGAAGGCCUUCGGGUUGUAAAGCCCUUUUGUUGGGAAAGAAAUCCAGCUGGUUAAUACCCGGUUGGGAUGACGGUACCCAAAGAAUAAGCACCGGCUAACUUCGUGCCAGCAGCCGCGGUAAUACGAAGGGUGCAAGCGUUACUCGGAAUUACUGGGCGUAAAGCGUGCGUAGGUGGUCGUUUAAGUCUGUUGUGAAAGCCCUGGGCUCAACCUGGGAACUGCAGUGGAAACUGGACGACUAGAGUGUGGUAGAGGGUAGCGGAAUUCCUGGUGUAGCAGUGAAAUGCGUAGAGAUCAGAGGAACAUCCAUGGCGAAAGCAGCUACCUGGGACCAACACUGACACUGAGGCAC
Molecule: ribosomal RNA, 759 nt
Filed under: uncultured bacterium
Lineage: Bacteria
Description: bacterial SSU rRNA
Rfam family: Bacterial small subunit ribosomal RNA
Source: RNAcentral